Molecule: ribosomal RNA, 756 nt
Filed under: uncultured bacterium
Lineage: Bacteria
Description: bacterial SSU rRNA
Rfam family: Bacterial small subunit ribosomal RNA
Source: RNAcentral
AGAGUUUGAUCAUGGCUCAGAAUCAACGCUGGCGGCGCGCCUAACACAUGCAAGUCGAACGAGAAAGUGGAGCAAUCCAUGAGUACAGUGGCGUACGGGUGAGUAACACGUGGGUGAUCUACCUUUUAGUGAGGAAUAACCGAGGGAAACUUUGGCUAAUACCGCAUAAGCCUGAGAAGGGAAAGCAGAAAUGCGCUGAAAGAGGAGCCCGCGGCCGAUUAGCUAGUUGGUGGGGUAAGAGCCUACCAAGGCAGAGAUCGGUAGCCGGCCUGAGAGGGCACACGGCCACACUGGCACUGAAACACGGGCCAGACUCCUACGGGAGGCAGCAGUGGGGAAUCUUGCACAAUGGGGGAAACCCUGAUGCAGCGACGCCGCGUGAGCGAUGAAGCCCUUCGGGGUGUAAAGCUCUUUCGUCAGGGAAGAUAGUGACGGUACCUGGAGAAGCAGCUGCGGCUAACUACGUGCCAGCAGCCGCGGUAAUACGUAGGCAGCAAGCGUUGUUCGGAGUUACUGGGCGUAAAGGGUGUGUAGGCGGUUCCUUAAGUUUGCUGUGAAAUCUCCCGGCUUAACCGGGAGGGUGCGGUGAAUACUGAGGGACUAGAGUACGGGAGAGGAAAGUGGAAUUCCUGGUGUAGCGGUGAAAUGCGUAGAUAUCAGGAGGAACACCGGUGGUGUAGACGGCUUUCUGGACCGUAACUGACGCUGAGACACGAAAGCGUGGGUAGCAAACAGGAUUAGAUACCCCGGUAGUCC